RNAcentral lists this ribosomal RNA (2926 nucleotides) under Escherichia coli. RNAcentral describes it as "23S ribosomal RNA". It matches the Rfam family "Bacterial large subunit ribosomal RNA". Lineage: Bacteria; Pseudomonadati; Pseudomonadota; Gammaproteobacteria; Enterobacterales; Enterobacteriaceae. The record is from RNAcentral.
GGGUUGUGAGGUUAAGCGACUAAGCGUACACGGUGGAUGCCCUGGCAGUCAGAGGCGAUGAAGGACGUGCUAAUCUGCGAUAAGCGUCGGUAAGGUGAUAUGAACCGUUAUAACCGGCGAUUUCCGAAUGGGGAAACCCAGUGUGUUUCGACACACUAUCAUUAACUGAAUCCAUAGGUUAAUGAGGCGAACCGGGGGAACUGAAACAUCUAAGUACCCCGAGGAAAAGAAAUCAACCGAGAUUCCCCCAGUAGCGGCGAGCGAACGGGGAGCAGCCCAGAGCCUGAAUCAGUGUGUGUGUUAGUGGAAGCGUCUGGAAAGGCGCGCGAUACAGGGUGACAGCCCCGUACACAAAAAUGCACAUGCUGUGAGCUCGAUGAGUAGGGCGGGACACGUGGUAUCCUGUCUGAAUAUGGGGGGACCAUCCUCCAAGGCUAAAUACUCCUGACUGACCGAUAGUGAACCAGUACCGUGAGGGAAAGGCGAAAAGAACCCCGGCGAGGGGAGUGAAAAAGAACCUGAAACCGUGUACGUACAAGCAGUGGGAGCACGCUUAGGCGUGUGACUGCGUACCUUUUGUAUAAUGGGUCAGCGACUUAUAUUCUGUAGCAAGGUUAACCGAAUAGGGGAGCCGAAGGGAAACCGAGUCUUAACUGGGCGUUAAGUUGCAGGGUAUAGACCCGAAACCCGGUGAUCUAGCCAUGGGCAGGUUGAAGGUUGGGUAACACUAACUGGAGGACCGAACCGACUAAUGUUGAAAAAUUAGCGGAUGACUUGUGGCUGGGGGUGAAAGGCCAAUCAAACCGGGAGAUAGCUGGUUCUCCCCGAAAGCUAUUUAGGUAGCGCCUCGUGAAUUCAUCUCCGGGGGUAGAGCACUGUUUCGGCAAGGGGGUCAUCCCGACUUACCAACCCGAUGCAAACUGCGAAUACCGGAGAAUGUUAUCACGGGAGACACACGGCGGGUGCUAACGUCCGUCGUGAAGAGGGAAACAACCCAGACCGCCAGCUAAGGUCCCAAAGUCAUGGUUAAGUGGGAAACGAUGUGGGAAGGCCCAGACAGCGAGGAUGUUGGCUUAGAAGCAGCCAUCAUUUAAAGAAAGCGUAAUAGCUCACUGGUCGAGUCGGCCUGCGCGGAAGAUGUAACGGGGCUAAACCAUGCACCGAAGCUGCGGCAGCGACGCUUAUGCGUUGUUGGGUAGGGGAGCGUUCUGUAAGCCUGUGAAGGUGUGCUGUGAGGCAUGCUGGAGGUAUCAGAAGUGCGAAUGCUGACAUAAGUAACGAUAAAGCGGGUGAAAAGCCCGCUCGCCGGAAGACCAAGGGUUCCUGUCCAACGUUAAUCGGGGCAGGGUGAGUCGACCCCUAAGGCGAGGCCGAAAGGCGUAGUCGAUGGGAAACAGGUUAAUAUUCCUGUACUUGGUGUUACUGCGAAGGGGGGACGGAGAAGGCUAUGUUGGCCGGGCGACGGUUGUCCCGGUUUAAGCGUGUAGGCUGGUUUUCCAGGCAAAUCCGGAAAAUCAAGGCUGAGGCGUGAUGACGAGGCACUACGGUGCUGAAGCAACAAAUGCCCUGCUUCCAGGAAAAGCCUCUAAGCAUCAGGUAACAUCAAAUCGUACCCCAAACCGACACAGGUGGUCAGGUAGAGAAUACCAAGGCGCUUGAGAGAACUCGGGUGAAGGAACUAGGCAAAAUGGUGCCGUAACUUCGGGAGAAGGCACGCUGAUAUGUAGGUGAAGUCCCUCGCGGAUGGAGCUGAAAUCAGUCGAAGAUACCAGCUGGCUGCAACUGUUUAUUAAAAACACAGCACUGUGCAAACACGAAAGUGGACGUAUACGGUGUGACGCCUGCCCGGUGCCGGAAGGUUAAUUGAUGGGGUUAGCGGUAACGCGAAGCUCUUGAUCGAAGCCCCGGUAAACGGCGGCCGUAACUAUAACGGUCCUAAGGUAGCGAAAUUCCUUGUCGGGUAAGUUCCGACCUGCACGAAUGGCGUAAUGAUGGCGGGCUGUCUCCACCCGAGACUCAGUGAAAUUGAACUCGCUGUGAAGAUGCAGUGUACCCGCGGCAAGACGGAAAGACCCCGUGAACCUUUACUAUAGCUUGACACUGAACAUUGAGCCUUGAUGUGUAGGAUAGGUGGGAGGCUUAGAAGUGUGGACGCCAGUCUGCAUGGAGCCGACCUUGAAAUACCACCCUUUAAUGUUUGAUGUUCUAACGUUGACCCGUAAUCCGGGUUGCGGACAGUGUCUGGUGGGUAGUUUGACUGGGGCGGUCUCCUCCUAAAGAGUAACGGAGGAGCACGAAGGUUGGCUAAUCCUGGUCGGACAUCAGGAGGUUAGUGCAAUGGCAUAAGCCAGCUUGACUGCGAGCGUGACGGCGCGAGCAGGUGCGAAAGCAGGUCAUAGUGAUCCGGUGGUUCUGAAUGGAAGGGCCAUCGCUCAACGGAUAAAAGGUACUCCGGGGAUAACAGGCUGAUACCGCCCAAGAGUUCAUAUCGACGGCGGUGUUUGGCACCUCGAUGUCGGCUCAUCACAUCCUGGGGCUGAAGUAGGUCCCAAGGGUAUGGCUGUUCGCCAUUUAAAGUGGUACGCGAGCUGGGUUUAGAACGUCGUGAGACAGUUCGGUCCCUAUCUGCCGUGGGCGCUGGAGAACUGAGGGGGGCUGCUCCUAGUACGAGAGGACCGGAGUGGACGCAUCACUGGUGUUCGGGUUGUCAUGCCAAUGGCACUGCCCGGUAGCUAAAUGCGGAAGAGAUAAGUGCUGAAAGCAUCUAAGCACGAAACUUGCCCCGAGAUGAGUUCUCCCUGACUCCUUGAGAGUCCUGAAGGAACGUUGAAGACGACGACGUUGAUAGGCCGGGUGUGUAAGCGCAGCGAUGCGUUGAGCUAACCGGUACUAAUGAACCGUGAGGCUUAACCUUACAACGCCGAAG